AGUAGUUGAUCUGCUCAGACGACGCUGGCGGCGUGCUUAACACAUGCAAGUCGAACGAUGACGACAGGGCUUGCCUUGUCUGAUUAGUGGCGAACGGGUGAGUAACACGUGAGUAACCUGCCCCCUCUUCGGGAUAACCUCGGGAAAUCGGGGCUAAUACCGGAUAUGACUUCGCGCCGCAUGGUGUGUUGUGGAAAGUUUUUCGGUGGGGGAUGGACUCGCGGCCUAUCAGUUUGUUGGUGAGGUAAUGGCUCACCAAGGCGAUGACGGGUAGCCGGCCUGAGAGGGCGACCGGCCACACUGGGACUGAGACACGGCCCAGACUCCUACGGGAGGCAGCAGUGGGGAAUAUUGCACAAUGGGCGGAAGCCUGAUGCAGCGACGCCGCGUGGGGGAUGACGGCCUUCGGGUUGUAAACCUCUUUCAGCAGGGAAGAAGCGAGAGUGACGGUACCUGCAGAAGAAGCGCCGGCUAACUACGUG
Molecule: ribosomal RNA, 482 nt
Filed under: uncultured Brachybacterium sp.
Lineage: Bacteria; Bacillati; Actinomycetota; Actinomycetes; Micrococcales; Dermabacteraceae
Description: bacterial SSU rRNA
Rfam family: Bacterial small subunit ribosomal RNA
Source: RNAcentral